AUUGAACGCUGGCGGCAGGCUUAACACAUGCAAGUCGAACGAUGAUUUCCCAGCUUGCUGGGAAUGAUUAGUGGCGGACGGGUGAGUAACAUUUAGGAAUCUGCCUAGUAGUGGGGGAUAGCUCGGGGAAACUCGAAUUAAUACCGCAUACGACCUACGGGUGAAAGGGGGCGCAAGCUCUUGCUAUUAGAUGAGCCUAAAUCAGAUUAGCUAGUUGGUGGGGUAAAGGCCCACCAAGGCGACGAUCUGUAACUGGUCUGAGAGGAUGAUCAGUCACACCGGAACUGAGACACGGUCCGGACUCCUACGGGAGGCAGCAGUGGGGAAUAUUGGACAAUGGGGGCAACCCUGAUCCAGCCAUGCCGCGUGUGUGAAGAAGGCCUUUUGGUUGUAAAGCACUUUAAGCAGGGAGGAGAGGCUAAUGGUUAAUACCCAUUAGAUUAGACGUUACCUGCAGAAUAAGCACCGGCUAACUCUGUGCCAGCAGCCGCGGUAAUACAGAGGGUGCGAGCGUUAAUCGGAAUUACUGGGCGUAAAGCGAGUGUAGGUGGCUCAUUAAGUCACAUGUGAAAUCCCCGGGCUUAACCUGGGAACUGCAUGUGAUACUGGUGGUGCUAGAAUAUGUGAGAGGGAAGUAGAAUUCCAGGUGUAGCGGUGAAAUGCGUAGAGAUCUGGAGGAAUACCGAUGGCGAAGGCAGCUUCCUGGCAUAAUAUUGACACUGAGAUUCGAAAGCGUGGGUAGCAAACAGGAUUAGAUACCCUAGUAGUCCACGCCGUAAACGAUGUCUACUAGCCGUUGGGGUCCUCGAGACUUUAGUGGCGCAGUUAACGCGAUAAGUAGACCGCCUGGGGAGUACGGCCGCAAGGUUAAAACUCAAAUGAAUUGACGGGGGCCCGCACAAGCGGUGGAGCAUGUGGUUUAAUUCGAUGCAACGCGAAGAACCUUACCUGGUCUUGACAUAGUGAGAAUCCUGCAGAGAUGCGGGAGUGCCUUCGGGAAUUCACAUACAGGUGCUGCAUGGCUGUCGUCAGCUCGUGUCGUGAGAUGUUGGGUUAAGUCCCGCAACGAGCGCAACCCUUUUCCUUAUUUGCCAGCGGGUUAAGCCGGGAACUUUAAGGAUACUGCCAGUGACAAACUGGAGGAAGGCGGGGACGACGUCAAGUCAUCAUGGCCCUUACGACCAGGGCUACACACGUGCUACAAUGGUAGGUACAGAGGGUUGCUACACAGCGAUGUGAUGCUAAUCUCAAAAAGCCUAUCGUAGUCCGGAUUGGAGUCUGCAACUCGACUCCAUGAAGUCGGAAUCGCUAGUAAUCGCAGAUCAGAAUGCUGCGGUGAAUACGUUCCCGGGCCU
Molecule: ribosomal RNA, 1355 nt
Filed under: uncultured bacterium
Lineage: Bacteria
Description: bacterial SSU rRNA
Rfam family: Bacterial small subunit ribosomal RNA
Source: RNAcentral